This 253-nucleotide ribosomal RNA is filed under the name uncultured prokaryote. RNAcentral's name for it is "partial 16S ribosomal RNA". It matches the Rfam family "Bacterial small subunit ribosomal RNA", at positions 524 to 776 of the family's 1533-position model. The record is from RNAcentral.
UACGAAGGGGGCUAGCGUUGUUCGGAAUUACUGGGCGUAAAGCGCACGUAGGCGGAUUGUUAAGUCAGGGGUGAAAUCCCGAGGCUCAACCUCGGAACUGCCUCUGAUACUGGCUGUCUUGAGUCCGGGAGAGGUGAGUGGAAUGCCGAGUGUAGAGGUGAAAUUCGUAGAUAUUCGGCGGAACACCAGUGGCGAAGGCGGCUCACUGGCCCGGUACUGACGCUGAGGUGCGAAAGCGUGGGGAGCAAACAGG